GUUGGUUUCUUAAGUACAUGCGCGCCACGGCAACCUUACGAAGUAACAUUUGCAUACCAACAGCAGACCUGUGAAAUACAUGAAAAGGUGGGAACGCCAAAGGAACCUGGGUUCUGCUGGGAAAUUCGGGAGAGAGCUUUUAACAGCCACAGAAGUGACACUUUGACAGUGACUUCCUGAAGACAGUCAGUGGAACAAAGAUGCCUCAGAAGGGCAAAAGAUUUCUGUGAUUUCUCCAAGUGGGGAUCUGGGGUGUGACUUCUGAGAGUCCCCAGCCUUCAAAAAAUGUGAAAAAUAGUUACCAGUCAGAGAUCAGUCAUUUGUUACUCGAUGACACUCCCACCUAAGGGACUAGCAUUCUCUGUAGCCUCUGCAGCCAGUUAGCACAGAAAAAGUCAAAAGAAAACUCUUUAGGGGCGUGGCACGGUUGGAGGACCCUAGCGGAUGAAGAGUUGCAGCCAAAGGGCUUGAAGCAAAACUCCGGGAAGAGCUUUAGAAAUUCACAAAGAGCAAUUACAGAGGAAACAACAGAAAAGAAGCACUUGCCUCAGAACACUCAAGGAACAAAAACACAGUGGGAAAAAUAAGAGUUGAGCUAGUGGCUCACAUUCUAGACCUGUGACACUGAAAAGGAAGAAGGCGUGCUGGGGCGUUUGCGUUCUUGCACACGUCUAUGCUGACCGCUGUGCUGCCCAGCCUUCCUGUGCACCAUCACAGCCUAACAAGGUCAGCUUCU
RNAcentral lists this long non-coding RNA (736 nucleotides) under Rattus norvegicus (Norway rat). RNAcentral's name for it is "long non-coding RNA NONRATT015045". Lineage: Eukaryota; Metazoa; Chordata; Mammalia; Rodentia; Muridae. The record is from RNAcentral.